GUGUCAGCAGCCGCGGUAAUACGAAGGGUGCAAGCGUUACUCGGAAUUACUGGGCGUAAAGCGUGCGUAGGUGGUUUGUUAAGUCUGAUGUGAAAGCCCUGGGCUCAACCUGGGAACGGCAUUGGAUACUGGCUUACUAGAGUGCGGUAGAGGGUAGUGGAAUUCCCGGUGUAGCAGUGAAAUGCGUAGAUAUCGGGAGGAACAUCUGUGGCGAAGGCGACUACCUGGACCAGCACUGACACUGAGGCACGAAAGCGUGGGGAGCAAACAGGAUUAGAUACCCUGGUAGUCCACGCCCUAAACGAUGCGAACUGGAUGUUGGGUGCAACUUGGCACUCAGUAUCGAAGCUAACGCGUUAAGUUCGCCGCCUGGGGAGUACGGUCGCAAGACUGAA
RNAcentral lists this ribosomal RNA (395 nucleotides) under uncultured bacterium. Its description in RNAcentral is "bacterial SSU rRNA". It matches the Rfam family "Bacterial small subunit ribosomal RNA", at positions 505 to 898 of the family's 1533-position model. The record is from RNAcentral.